Molecule: non-coding RNA, 69 nt
Organism: Podarcis lilfordi (Lilford's wall lizard)
Lineage: Eukaryota; Metazoa; Chordata; Lepidosauria; Squamata; Lacertidae
Source: the annotation of a GenBank genome assembly
GCUGUAGCUCAGGAGUAGGGUAUCUGCUUUGCAUGCAGAAAGUUCCAGAUUGAAUCCCUGGCAUCUCCA